RNAcentral lists this long non-coding RNA (247 nucleotides) under Sorghum bicolor (sorghum). RNAcentral describes it as "long non-coding RNA (SBIC_LNC007478)". The record is from RNAcentral. Lineage: Eukaryota; Viridiplantae; Streptophyta; Magnoliopsida; Poales; Poaceae.
ACCAGCCACAUGGUAUCCUGAGAACUCAACCAUUAGGGAUUAGAUGCUAUGGAGACUGGCCUAGAGGAGAAAGCAAUGCAACAGAUCAAUAACACAUGGAUAAGCUCUGAUGGCCAUCAUCACGAAUGGCCUCCCUAGCAACUUGCCAAGCACUGCAAAGAUGGAAAUAUGGGAUUUAGAUUGAUACUCAAAUUUGUUAAGUUGUACAUUGCUACGUACAUGGAUAAACAAACAUGUCAGCAUAAAU